RNAcentral lists this ribosomal RNA (492 nucleotides) under uncultured bacterium. RNAcentral's name for it is "partial 16S ribosomal RNA". It matches the Rfam family "Bacterial small subunit ribosomal RNA", at positions 30 to 507 of the family's 1533-position model. The record is from RNAcentral.
AUUGAACGCUGGCGGCAUGCUUUACACAUGCAAGUCGAACGGUAACAGGCCUUCGGGUGCUGACGAGUGGCGAACGGGUGAGUAAUGCAUCGGAACGUGCCCAGAGGUGGGGGAUAACGCAGCGAAAGCUGUGCUAAUACCGCAUGUGAUCUGAGGAUGAAAGCGGGGGACCAAGCAGCAAUGUUUGGCCUCGCGCCUCUGGAGCGGCCGAUGUCAGAUUAGGUAGUUGGUGGGGUAAAGGCCUACCACGCCGACGAUCUGUAGCUGGUCUGAGAGGACGACCAGCCACACUGGGACUGAGACACGGCCCAGACUCCUACGGGAGGCAGCAGUGGGGAAUUUUGGACAAUGGGCGCAAGCCUGAUCCAGCAAUGCCGCGUGCGGGAAGAAGGCCUUCGGGUUGUAAACCGCUUUUGUACGGAACGAAAAGGCUCUGGCUAAUACCUGGGGCUGAUGACGGUACCGUAAGAAUAAGCACCGGCUAACUACGUG